AUGAACGCUGGCGGCGUGCUUAACACAUGCAAGUCGAACGAACCUUCGGGUUAGUGGCGGACGGGUGAGUAACGCGUGAGAAUCUGCCCUCAGGAGGGGGAUAACGGCUGGAAACGGCCGCUAAUACCCCAUAUGCCGCGAGGUGAAAUGAAUUUCGCCUGAGGAUGAGCUCGCGUCUGAUUAGCUAGUUGGUGGGGUAAGAGCCUACCAAGGCAUCGAUCAGUAGCUGGUCUGAGAGGAUGAUCAGCCACACUGGGACUGAGACACGGCCCAGACUCCUACGGGAGGCAGCAGUGGGGAAUUUUCCGCAAUGGGCGAAAGCCUGACGGAGCAACGCCGCGUGAGGGAUGAAGGCCUCUGGGCUGUAAACCUCUUUUAUCAAGGAAGAAGAUCUGACG
This 398-nucleotide ribosomal RNA is filed under the name uncultured Synechococcus sp. RNAcentral describes it as "bacterial SSU rRNA". It matches the Rfam family "Bacterial small subunit ribosomal RNA", at positions 29 to 458 of the family's 1533-position model. Lineage: Bacteria; Bacillati; Cyanobacteriota; Cyanophyceae; Synechococcales; Synechococcaceae. The record is from RNAcentral.